UACGGAGGGUGCAAGCGUUGUUCGGAAUCAUUGGGCGUAAAGCGCGUGUAGGCGGCUUGGCAAGUCAGUUGUGAAAGCCCGGGGCCCAACCCCGGAACUGCAUCUGAAACUGCCUGGCUAGAGUCCCGGAGAGGAAGGCAGAAUUCCCGGUGUAGGGGUGAAAUCCGUAGAUAUCGGGAGGAAUACAGCGGCGAAGGCGGCCUUCUGGACGGUGACUGACGCUGAGACGCGAAAGCGUGGGGAGCAAACAGG
RNAcentral lists this ribosomal RNA (252 nucleotides) under uncultured bacterium. Its description in RNAcentral is "partial 16S ribosomal RNA". It matches the Rfam family "Bacterial small subunit ribosomal RNA", at positions 524 to 776 of the family's 1533-position model. The record is from RNAcentral.